GAUGAACGCUGGCGGUGUGCCUAAUACAUGCAAGUCGAGCGAACAGACGAGGAGCUUACUCCUCUGACGUUAGCGGCGAACGGGUGAGUAACACGUGAAUAACCUACCUAUAAGACUGGGAUAACUUCGGGAAACCGGAGCUAAUACCGGAUAACAUGUUGAACCGCAUGGUUCAACAGUGAAAGACGGUCUUGCUGUAACUUAUAGAUGGAUCCGCGUCGCAUUAGCUAGUUGGUAAGGUAACGGCUUACCAAGGCAACGAUGCGUAGCCGACCUGAGAGGGUGAUCGGCCACACUGGAACUGAGACACGGUCCAGACUCCUACGGGAGGCAGCAGUAGGGAAUCUUCCGCAAUGGGCGAAAGCCUGACGGAGCAACGCCGCGUGAGUGAAGAAGGUCUUCGGAUCGUAAAACUCUGUUAUUAGGGAAGAACAAAUGUGUAAGUAACUAUGCACGUCUUGACGGUACCUAAUCAGAAAGCCACGGCUAACUACGUG
This 497-nucleotide ribosomal RNA is filed under the name uncultured bacterium. RNAcentral describes it as "partial 16S ribosomal RNA". It matches the Rfam family "Bacterial small subunit ribosomal RNA", at positions 28 to 507 of the family's 1533-position model. The record is from RNAcentral.